UACGUAGGGUCCGAGCGUUGUCCGGAAUUACUGGGCGUAAAGAGCUCGUAGGUGGUUUGUCGCGUUGUUCGUGAAAACUCACAGCUUAACUGUGGGCGUGCGGGCGAUACGGGCAGACUUGAGUACUGCAGGGGGAGACGUGGAAUUCCUGGUGUAGCGGUGGAAUGCGCAGAUAUCAGGAGGAACACCAGCGGCGAAGGCGGCGCUCGUGGGCCGGUACUGACACUGAGGAGCGAAAGCGUGGGUAGCAAACAGG
RNAcentral lists this ribosomal RNA (256 nucleotides) under uncultured bacterium. RNAcentral describes it as "partial 16S ribosomal RNA". It matches the Rfam family "Bacterial small subunit ribosomal RNA", at positions 524 to 776 of the family's 1533-position model. The record is from RNAcentral.